This is a non-coding RNA of Rattus norvegicus (Norway rat), 63 nucleotides long. NCBI's taxonomy places the organism in Eukaryota, Metazoa, Chordata, Mammalia, Rodentia, Muridae. The record is from Rfam.
GGGGAUUUAGCUCAGUGGUAGAGCGCUUGCCUAGGAAGCGCAAGGCCCUGGGUUCAGUCUCCA